This is a non-coding RNA of Leptotrichia sp. oral taxon 847, 106 nucleotides long. The record is from Rfam. NCBI's taxonomy places the organism in Bacteria, Fusobacteriati, Fusobacteriota, Fusobacteriia, Fusobacteriales, Leptotrichiaceae.
AACUAGUUACAAGGGAGUCAAUAAAUUGACUGAGAAAAGGAUGUGAGCCUUGACCUUUUGACCUGAUUUGGAUAAUGCCAACGUAGGAAGUAAGAAAGUUUAUUUU